CUCAAUAACUGAAUGAUCCCCUACAACACAUACCUCUAUCUCCAUCUACUAGCUAGAUGUUGUAUACUCCCCACACUUAGAAAAUAUGUAAUUUUUCAAUCAGAUAAAAUUAUCUCUGUGUCACACUGUAAAGAUUUCACCUUGUAACUUACUGUACAAGUUGCCUGUUUUUACAUAGGAGUUCACACCUUUUCUUUUGUGCAGAGCUGGUGUGUGGAGCUGUCUGAUGACAGUGAUUUUGAAAGCCCGGUUGUACAACGAAGGAGAGUGAGUCAGAGAGAUGCACCGUCCAGAGCCCAGAGGGAACACUGUGAGAGGCAAGAGAGGGUGGAAGCCAGUGCUCCAUCUGAUGAUGGGAUGGAACUACAGGGACAGCGAGGGCCAAAUGAAGCUAUGAAUCACUUUGCAGAUUUCAUUCCUAUUGAUGUUGAAGAAGAUGAAGCCAUUGAGGAGGCCAUCAGACGCAGUCUUUUAGAA
This is a long non-coding RNA of Sander lucioperca (pikeperch), 477 nucleotides long. RefSeq lists it as uncharacterized. Lineage: Eukaryota; Metazoa; Chordata; Actinopteri; Perciformes; Percidae. The record is from RefSeq and is a predicted model, not a curated record. The transcript is spliced from 3 exons.